This 1398-nucleotide ribosomal RNA is filed under the name metagenome. RNAcentral describes it as "bacterial LSU rRNA". It matches the Rfam family "Bacterial large subunit ribosomal RNA", at positions 1536 to 2925 of the family's 2925-position model. The record is from RNAcentral.
CUAAAAUCCGCCGGGCUUAGAUGAGGGGUGACAACGAGGCGGCUUGCCGUCGAAGUGAGUAAUACCCUGCUUCCAGGAAAAGCCACUAAGCUUCAGCUGCACACGACCGUACCGCAAACCGACACUGGUGCGCGAGAUGAGUAUUCUAAGGCGCUUGAGAGAACUCGGGAGAAGGAACUCGGCAAAUUGACACCGUAACUUCGGAAGAAGGUGUGCCUUUAGUAGGUGAACCUGUACAAGGGGAGCCCAAUGAGGUUGCAAAAAAUCGGUGGCUGCGACUGUUUAAUAAAAACACAGCACUCUGCAACACGAAAGUGGACGUAUAGGGUGUGACGCCUGCCCGGUGCUGGAAGAUUAAAUGAUGGGGUGCAAGCUCUUGAUUGAAGUCCCAGUAAACGGCGGCCGUAACGAUAACGGUCCUAAGGUAGCGAAAUUCCUUGUCGGGUAAGUUCCGACCUGCACGAAUGGCGUAACGAUGGCCACACUGUCUCCUCCCGAGACUCAGCGAAGUUGAAAUGUUUGUGAUGAUGCAAUCUCCCCGCGGAAAGACGGAAAGACCCCAUGAACCUUUACUGUAGCUUUGUAUUGGACUUUGAACAGAUCUGUGUAGGAUAGGUGGGAGGCUUUGAAGCAGGGUCGCUAGAUCUUGUGGAGCCAACGUUGAAAUACCACCCUGGUGUGUUUGAGGUUCUAACCUAGGCCCGUAAUCCGGGUCGGGGACAGUGCAUGGUAGGCAGUUUGACUGGGGCGGUCUCCUCCCAAAGCGUAACGGAGGAGUUCGAAGGUACGCUAGUUACGGUCGGACAUCGUGACGAUAGUGCAAUGGCAUAAGCGUGCUUAACUGCGAGACUGACAAGUCGAGCAGAUGCGAAAGCAGGACAUAGUGAUCCGGUGGUUCUGUAUGGAAGGGCCAUCGCUCAACGGAUAAAAGGUACUCUGGGGAUAACAGGCUGAUACCGCCCAAGAGUUCAUAUCGACGGCGGUGUUUGGCACCUCGAUGUCGGCUCAUCUCAUCCUGGGGCUGUAGCCGGUCCCAAGGGUAUGGCUGUUCGCCAUUUAAAGAGGUACGUGAGCUGGGUUUAAAACGUCGUGAGACAGUUUGGUCCCUAUCUUCCGUGGGCGCUGCAGAUUUGAAGAAGCCUGCUCCUAGUACGAGAGGACCGGAGUGGACGCACCUCUGGUGUAUCGGUUGUCACGCCAGUGGCAUUGCCGAGUAGCUAUGUGCGGAAGAGAUAACCGCUGAAAGCAUCUAAGCGGGAAACUCGUUCUAAGAUGAGAUCUGCCGGGGCCUUGAGCCCCCUGAAGAGUCGUUCAAGACCAGGACGUUGAUAGGUCAGGUGUGGAAGCGCAGUAAUGCGUUAAGCUAACUGAUACUAAUUGCUCGUGCGGCUUGACCCU